Molecule: ribosomal RNA, 305 nt
Filed under: uncultured bacterium
Lineage: Bacteria
Description: bacterial SSU rRNA
Rfam family: Bacterial small subunit ribosomal RNA
Source: RNAcentral
CCUACGGGGCGCAGCAGUGGGGAAUAUUGGACAAUGGGGGAAACCCUGAUCCAGCGACGCCGCGUGAGUGAAGAAGUAUUUCGGUAUGUAAAGCUCUAUCAGCAGGGAAGAAAAUGACGGUACCUGACUAAGAAGCCCCGGCUAACUACGUGCCAGCAGCCGCGGUAAUACGUAGGGGGCAAGCGUUAUCCGGAUUUACUGGGUGUAAAGGGAGCGUAGACGGCAUAGCAAGUCUGAUGUGAAAGAUCGGGGCUCAACCUCGGGCCUGCAUUGGACACUGUUAAGCUUGAGUACAGGAGAGGUAA